UAGGGAAUCUUCCACAAUGGACGCAAGUCUGAUGGAGCAACGCCGCGUGAGUGAAGAAGGUUUUCGGAUCGUAAAGCUCUGUUGUUGGUGAAGAAGGAUAGAGGCAGUAACUGGUCUUUAUUUGACGGUAAUCAACCAGAAAGUCACGGCUAACUACGUGCCAGCAGCCGCGGUAAUACGUAGGUGGCAAGCGUUGUCCGGAUUUAUUGGGCGUAAAGCGAGCGCAGGCGGAAUGAUAAGUCUGAUGUGAAAGCCCACGGCUCAACCGUGGAACUGCAUCGGAAACUGUCAUUCUUGAGUGCAGAAGAGGAGAGUGGAAUUCCAUGUGUAGCGGUGGAAUGCGUAGAUAUAUGGAAGAACACCAGUGGCGAAGGCGGCUCUCUGGUCUGAAACUGACGCUGAGGCUCGAAAGCAUGGGUAGCGAACAGG
RNAcentral lists this ribosomal RNA (429 nucleotides) under bacterium. Its description in RNAcentral is "partial 16S ribosomal RNA". It matches the Rfam family "Bacterial small subunit ribosomal RNA", at positions 355 to 776 of the family's 1533-position model. The record is from RNAcentral.